This is a long non-coding RNA of Anopheles arabiensis, 1808 nucleotides long. RefSeq lists it as uncharacterized. The transcript is spliced from 3 exons. Lineage: Eukaryota; Metazoa; Arthropoda; Insecta; Diptera; Culicidae. The record is from RefSeq and is a predicted model, not a curated record.
GAACAACUCGCCCUGAACAGUCGGCUUCCGUCGAGCAGUGGCGUAAGUCAAGUGGUUGAAGGCUACACAAGUAUCGAUUCUACAGUUAUACAGUUUACCCUCGAUCACCAAGAUGGUAGCUACGAGGGACUUUUGGCCGAUUGUGCUGGUUGCAUUUGUGGCGUACGGCUCUGGGGUACCAUUCAAUAUUGAUGGGUUGUCACGCAAAUAUACAGGCUUCGUUGCCGAUCACUCCAUCAACAAUUUUUAUAAUACCACCCAACAACCAACAUCGGACAUAAGCCUGAAAUCAAAGUUUGGCAAAGUUCUCAUGGAUAUUGCAGUUCCUUUUUUCGAACGGCUGAACAAAAACUUCGCUAGAAUUAAUGAAAUCAAUAAGCGCACUUCCUUUCCAGCCAAAAUCCUAAAGGGAAACAAGAAGCAACAACCAAUCAUGGUUGAAAAUGUCACACAAAAUGUGUCCAUAUUGCAAGAGAUAAGCCCGAUCAGCGAAGAGCCGAACAUGGUCGAAACGAUUCAACGUCUGUCUGAGUCAAACAACGUCACAGUCACACAACGUACAAUCCAAGGCCCGUUGAACUAUAGCGAGGACAAUCAAGAGACAGAUUCAACCAAAGAAACAGUCCACAACCCGGGGAACAACAACGUAGACGAUCAAGGAAACAAGCAAGCAACCGGCCUUUCUCAGCGGUUCAUAAUUGAUUGGAUUGUAAUAACGCCAUUAAUUAUAACUAUGAUUAUAAUUUUUGUUUUUGUGAUUUAUUUACCUUAGCAAUAAAGCAUUUCAUUUCAUUUCGAAUCUAUAACGGUUAACUUAGGAGUGCUGCAUGCACGUGUGUCCAUCGUCCAAUCCAUAGACCAAUUCCGAGAAGCGGAAGAAAAUCGAUCAAGGGACGAAGACGAUCAAGGGAACAAGCAAGCAACCGGCCUUUCUCAGUGGAUCGUAGUUGUGUGGAAUGUAGUAUCGCUAUUAAUCAUAUUUAUAAUUAUAAAAAUAAUCUUUAAAAGUGUCCACUACUACAAGACCUACAGACUACAGACAGAAUCGAUUCCCAUACGCACCGUUACCCAAUAACAAGGAGUGACUAUCCGUGUGGUAGUGCUAGACUGUCUCGGAAGUCUGUUAUAGAUCGACAUGACUUAAAAUUCCUACGGAUAGCAAAGAACGACAUUGCGAGGAUCCUACACUUCCGACACUAUUAACAGGAAACAACAGGAGUGACAAAGAACCCAUACACAAGCAUAGUUUGAAGAGAAAGUAAACACUUGCAUCGAUCAUUCCUGAGUAAUAUUCUAUGAUAAAAAUUAUCUUGAUAAUUAUCGAGAUUUGCCAUUUCCAUACUCAAGUACAUUGGAAACAAAUAUCUUGCAUCAGCAUUUCGACAUUCACACAGCAACAGCAAUACAGUGAGAGAAAAAAAUAAAAAGCAAGAGCGAGAAAAAGAGAAAGGGAGAGAGAGAAAGAGAGAGAGAGAUAAUUAAAGAUUGAUAGAAAAAAAACUUUAGAGAGAGCAUUAUUUGAAGUCUGGAUACAACUUACCUUGUAUCGAAAAAACUUAUUUUCUUCAGGAAUCGAAGCCACCAGAAGCUAGAAGUGAUAAUGGAAGAAGGUCUACGUAAAAAUAACCAUAUUUGGUGUUUGGGAUUGUUGUUUGUGUGGAAUUCCUCAUGCAUUUCCAAAAAACUUUUGGACGCAUACAUUAGCGUAUUGUUUGUAUAUUUGUGUGUUCAUUUUUUUUUUUAUUUUAUGUAUUGUUUUUCAAUUUUAUAAAUCUCAAUAUUUUGGCUUAUCUCGCAAUUUACUUUUA